ACUGUAUUGUUUUCAACGAGGACGAGUUCUACGCGAGUGCUGGGUGAAAAAGAAAAGAAAACGAAAAACUAAAUAUCAAAGAAAAGUUAAGCGACGAAAACAGUCAGAGCCGCAGCGAGCGCGGCAUUUGGUCUGCAUUUUUUUCUCAACACGCACAAGUGUACCCGCAGCAGGCAAACAUUUCAACAACACGAUUUGACCAAAUGUGGUAAAAAUAGCAAAAGCCAGCAGCAGCAGCAGCAGCCGCCGCCGCUCCAUCGACGUCGCCGUCGUCUUCGCUGUCGACGGCCCAAUAAAAACCCACACAGCAGUAGCAGCCGCAGCAGCAGCAACAGCAAUAAAAGUAUCAAAAAGUGGAGCAAAUAAUUUCAGUUACCAGGCGAAACGUGCAGCGCAACACGCGUGAAUAAAUCCAAAAAGUGCAAGUGCAGGCCGCCAAAGACGCACACGCACAUACACCCACCUACAUAUACAUACACACGCUCACACAUACAUCCGCAUACGUACAUAUAUCUAAACGACAGAGCGCAAUGUCACGACCACGUCCGCGUCUCCCACCCAUUGGCAUUCCGCGUGAGCCGGAACCGGCAUUUGUGCCACCACGUAAUCUGGACUCCCGGGCGACCAUACAAAUCGGCGAUCAAACAUUCGACAUCGAUGCGGAUAGUUUGGAGAAGAUUUGUGAUUUAGGACGCGGCGCUUAUGGCAUCGUGGAGAAGAUGCGACACAGGCAGACGGGCACUGUGCUGGCCGUCAAGCGCAUCCCAAUGACAGUGAACUUCCGUGAACAGCAACGUCUGAUCAUGGAUCUGGAUAUAUCGAUGCGAUCCAGCGAUUGCCCCUAUACGGUCCACUUUUAUGGGGCCAUGUACCGGGAGGGCGAUGUCUGGAUCUGCAUGGAGGUGAUGAACACCAGUUUGGACAAAUUCUACCCGAAGGUCUUCAAAAAUCAGCUAACCAUGGAGGAGACGGUGCUCGGCAAAAUCGCGAUGAGCGUGGUUAGCGCCUUGCAUUAUCUGCAUGCCCAGCUGAAGGUCAUCCAUCGCGAUGUAAAGCCAUCAAAUAUAUUGAUCAAUCGCAGCGGCCAGGUGAAAAUAUGUGAUUUUGGCAUCUCAGGCUAUCUGGUCGAUUCGGUGGCAAAGACUAUAGACGCUGGCUGUAAGCCAUAUAUGGCACCGGAACGUAUUGAUCCGCAAGGUAAUCCAGCCCAAUACGAUAUACGCUCCGAUGUCUGGUCGCUGGGCAUCAGCAUGAUCGAAAUGGCCACCGGGCAAUAUCCCUAUAACAAAUGGCGAACGCCCUUUGAACAGUUGCGUCAGGUUGUUGAGGAUGAUCCGCCACGACUGACGGCCGGCACAUUCUCCGCAGAGUUCGAGGACUUUAUAGCGACGUGCUUGAAAAAGGAAUAUACGGCGAGACCCAAUUACGAGCAGCUGCUGCGGCACAGCUUUAUCGUGGAGCAUUUACAACGCAACACGGAUAUAUCCGAGUUUGUGGCAAGAAUAUUAGAUCUGCCCGAUGAGCAGGCGUCGCAGUAGAGCGGCAAGCGCAGCUGGAACAGAAGCAGGAGCAGGAGCUGGAGUAGGAGUAGGAGUACGCGUACGAGUAGAAGUAGGAGUAGGAGUAGAGCGUGCGGAGUUAAUCAAGGAUCAACAUGUCUUCUCUACUCAAUGUGAAACUAUUCAAAAAACAAAAUCGCUCAAAAGAUCGAAACGUGAAAAUUAAAACAAACAAUACAAACAACAUUAAACUAUAUAUAUAAACACGAGAAAAUAAAACCAAACUGUGCCUCAGCCUUGGCAGCCCAGUUGCUGUCAAACUGUAAAAUGUAAAACUAAAUUAAAAACUAUUAAAUGCCGUGCAGCAUGCAACAUGAAGGAAUUACAAAGAAAUGAAGAAGAAAAAAACAACGCCAAGCAAAAUGUGUAAAUUGUUUAACAAAUAUACGUGAAAUAGCUAAAUUAAUGUUGAAA
This 1973-nucleotide unclassified non-coding RNA is filed under the name Drosophila mojavensis. RNAcentral describes it as "GI16291". Lineage: Eukaryota; Metazoa; Arthropoda; Insecta; Diptera; Drosophilidae. The record is from RNAcentral.